This 270-nucleotide ribosomal RNA is filed under the name uncultured archaeon. RNAcentral describes it as "partial 16S ribosomal RNA". It matches the Rfam family "Archaeal small subunit ribosomal RNA", at positions 477 to 747 of the family's 1478-position model. The record is from RNAcentral.
CAGCACCUCAAGUGGUCAGGAUGAUUAUUGGGCCUAAAGCAUCCGUAGCCGGCGCUGUAAGUUUUCGGUUAAAUCUGUACGCUCAACGUACAGGCUGCCGGGAAUACUGCAGCGCUAGGGAGUUGGAGAGGUAGACGGUACUCGGUAGGAAGGGGUAAAAUCCUUUGAUCUAUUGAUGACCACCUGUGGCGAAGGCGGUCUACCAGAACACGUCCGACGGUGAGGGAUGAAAGCUGGGGGAGCAGACCGGAUUAGAUACCCGAGUAGUCC